RNAcentral lists this ribosomal RNA (239 nucleotides) under uncultured bacterium. RNAcentral's name for it is "partial 16S ribosomal RNA". It matches the Rfam family "Bacterial small subunit ribosomal RNA", at positions 118 to 344 of the family's 1533-position model. The record is from RNAcentral.
UGGGUAACCUGCCUCAAAGAGGGGAAUAGCCUCCCGAAAGGGAGAUUAAUACCCGCAUAAUAUGUUUUAAUCGCAUGAUUUUAACAUCAAAGGAUUUUCUUCGGAACUUCCACUUUGAGAUGGACCCGCGGCGCAUUAGCUAGUUGGUGAGGUAACGGCUCACCAAGGCAACGAUGCGUAGCCGACCUGAGAGGGUGAUCGGCCACAUUGGAACUGAGACACGGUCCAGACUCCGUAGG